AACGAACGCUGGCGGCAUGCCUAACACAUGCAAGUCGAACGAGACCUUCGGGUCUAGUGGCGCACGGGUGCGUAACGCGUGGGAACCUGCCCUUAGGUUCGGUAUAACUCCCCGAAAGGGGUGCUAAUACCGGAUAAUGUCUUCGGACCAAAGAUUUAUCGCCUUUGGAUGGGCCCGCGUUGGAUUAGCUAGUUGGUAGGGUAAAAGCCUACCAAGGCGACGACCCAUAGCUGGUCUGAGAGGAUGAUCAGCCACACUGGGACUGAGACACGGCCCAGACUCCUACGGGAGGCAGCAGUGGGGAAUAUUGGACAAUGGGCGAAAGCCUGAUCCAGCAAUGCCGCGUGAGUGAUGAAGGCCUUAGGGUUGUAAAGCUCUUUUACCCGGGAUGAUAAUGACAGUACCGGGAGAAUAAGCUCCGGCUAACUCCGUG
Molecule: ribosomal RNA, 433 nt
Filed under: uncultured bacterium
Lineage: Bacteria
Description: partial 16S ribosomal RNA
Rfam family: Bacterial small subunit ribosomal RNA
Source: RNAcentral